RNAcentral lists this long non-coding RNA (1044 nucleotides) under Salmo salar (Atlantic salmon). RNAcentral's name for it is "lncRNA (ENSSSAG00000117138.1, ENSSSAG00075039383.1)". Lineage: Eukaryota; Metazoa; Chordata; Actinopteri; Salmoniformes; Salmonidae. The record is from RNAcentral.
UACAGAACAACGUCCUACAAAAUGUGUCCUACCUGGUCCGAAAACAGUGACUAACAGAACCACGUACCAUCCCCUUCAACAGGCGUGUGGGGGGAGGGUGUUUGAAAUGUACCAUCCAAUCAAAUCUUUUAAACUGUUUUUGCAAUACAACAUUCUCCAGACCUCCAGGCAUGACAACGAAGGGAUUUUGGCAGUAUGGCAACACAAGAGUAGCCCAUACGCAAUUGCCAACAGUUGGACUAUUGUUGAGUACAGAAAAUAUAGGCCUAUAUGUAACCGAUGUGAAAUGGCUAGUUAGUUAGCGGUGGUGCGUGCUAAUAGCAUUUCAAUCAGUGACGUCACUCGCUCUGAGACUUGAAGUUGAGUUUCCCCUUGCGUUGCAAGAACCGCGGCUUUUGUGGCGCGAUGGGUAACGAUGCUUCGUGGGGUGUCAGUUGUUGAUGUGUGCAAGGGUCCCUGGUUCGAGCCCAGGUUGGGGCGAAGAGAGGGACGGAACCUACACUGUUACAUAUAGAGUACCACAGUAUGAGUCAUAAUACCCAUAAAAACUAGCGGUCUUUUCGAAUUGAAGCAUAAAUAGAGCUGAAUAUAUUGAUGUCCCCUUUACAAGACAGAUUUAAAUGGUUGUCAAACGUCACGCCAGGUCAAGCCUACACAGAACAAAUCCCCUAUGGGAAAAUAGAUGGUGGAAAAACGAUUGGAACCAUUUCCCGUUGUAUGGCUAUUGUGACACAUCAACUGUGUAGCCCAUUAUAACUAAUAAGUUGUACUGAAAUGGAAAAUCCAUAUAAACUGAUGUGAAAAAGUGUAGCCUAUCUGUGUUUAAGAAUGCUCUUAGCCUUCUGGAAUUCAUCAGGAAAUCAAAAGAAGAAGAAACUUUAAGUAUACAACAAUUACAGCAAGAAAAACGUAAACAACAGUAUAUCAAUAGCAAAUACUCACUUUCGCAGAAUCUUUCAAUAAGUAACCUAAACUCCCCUAAACGUUUUAGUCGCUCUUCAAUUUAGGUCUUCUUCCAAACCAAGCUCACAAGCAAUCUCGCAG